Molecule: ribosomal RNA, 253 nt
Filed under: uncultured bacterium
Lineage: Bacteria
Description: partial 16S ribosomal RNA
Rfam family: Bacterial small subunit ribosomal RNA
Source: RNAcentral
UACGGGGGGGGCAAGCGUUGUUCGGAAUUACUGGGCGUAAAGGGCUCGUAGGCGGCCAACUAAGUCAGACGUGAAAUCCCUCGGCUUAACCGGGGAACUGCGUCUGAUACUGGAUGGCUUGAGUUUGGGAGAGGGAUGCGGAAUUCCAGGUGUAGCGGUGAAAUGCGUAGAUAUUCGGAAGAACACCAGUGGCGAAGGCGACUCACUGGACAUGUAUUGACGCUGAGGUACGAAAGCGUGGGGAGCAAACAGG